This 394-nucleotide ribosomal RNA is filed under the name uncultured bacterium. Its description in RNAcentral is "bacterial SSU rRNA". It matches the Rfam family "Bacterial small subunit ribosomal RNA", at positions 28 to 428 of the family's 1533-position model. The record is from RNAcentral.
GACGAACGCUGGCGGCGUGCUUAACACAUGCAAGUCGAACGGUAAGGCCCUUCGGGUACGACGAGUGGCGAACGGGUGAGUAACACGUGGGUGAUCUGCCCUGCACUUCGGGAUAAGCCUGGGAAACUGGGUCUAAUACCGGAUAGGACUCCGAAUCGCAUGGUUUGGGGUGGAAAGCUUUUGCGGUGUGGGAUGGGCCCGCGGCCUAUCAGCUUGUUGGUGGGGUGAUGGCCUACCAAGGCGACGACGGGUAGCCGGCCUGAGAGGGUGUCCGGCCACACUGGGACUGAGAUACGGCCCAGACUCCUACGGGAGGCAGCAGUGGGGAAUAUUGCACAAUGGGCGCAAGCCUGAUGCAGCGACGCCGCGUGAGGGAUGACGGCCUCGGUUGUGA